GAUGAACGCUGGCGGCGUGCCUAAUACAUGCAAGUCGAGCGAACAGACGAGGAGCUUGCUCCUCUGACGUUAGCGGCGGACGGGUGAGUAACACGUGGAUAACCUACCUAUAAGACUGGGAUAACUUCGGGAAACCGGAGCUAAUACCGGAUAAUAUAUUGAACCGCAUGGUUCAAUAGUGAAAGACGGUUUUGCUGUCACUUACAGAUGGAUCCGCGCCGCAUUAGCUAGUUGGUAAGGUAACGGCUUACCAAGGCAACGAUGCGUAGCCGACCUGAGAGGGUGAUCGGCCACACUGGAACUGAGACACGGUCCAGACUCCUACGGGAGGCAGCAGUAGGGAAUCUUCCGCAAUGGGCGAAAGCCUGACGGAGCAACGCCGCGUGAGUGAUGAAGGUCUUCGGAUCGUAAAACUCGGUUAUUAGGGAAGAACAAAUGUGUAAGUAACUAUGCACGUCUUGACGGUACCUAAUCAGAAAGCCACGGCUAACUACGUG
RNAcentral lists this ribosomal RNA (497 nucleotides) under uncultured bacterium. RNAcentral describes it as "partial 16S ribosomal RNA". It matches the Rfam family "Bacterial small subunit ribosomal RNA", at positions 28 to 507 of the family's 1533-position model. The record is from RNAcentral.